Panicum hallii is the source of this 1838-nucleotide long non-coding RNA. RefSeq lists it as uncharacterized. The transcript has 2 exons. Lineage: Eukaryota; Viridiplantae; Streptophyta; Magnoliopsida; Poales; Poaceae. The record is from RefSeq and is a predicted model, not a curated record.
GGGCCAAAUUUCCCCGCUGUUUGGAAGCCCAUUUGUCGAGGCAGGAUGUCCCGAGCCCUGAGAUUUCCCCGGGCCAGCUCCUCCCCACCUCGAGGAUCCGGGCGAGGCUUCCCCUUCUCUCCCCCGAGCGGCGUCGCGGGCGAAUCGACGCAAGGAAAAGAAGGUACCUCGCCGCCGCCGCUCCUUCUCCAUCCAGGCGUUGUCGUCCCGCCUCCGUCCAGGCGCCUCCGCCCCUCCGCCUCCGUUCAGGCGCCGCCGCCCCUCCGCCUCCGCCCAGGCGCCGCCGCCCCUCCGCAUCCGCACCCAGGCACCGCCGACCCGCCUCCCCGUCGACCGCAGCGCCGGCACAGCGACACCUCGACCUAGGCCGCGCCCUCUGCAUCCACACAGCACCUCCACCUUGUCUUCCUCGUCGCCACAUGACUACAACAUUCGCUCCACUCCAACUCCAGCAAAGGAAGGUCUUGCUGCAGCCUCCCAGUCUCUGGUCCCUCAAAGGAUUCCAACAGGUAACUAUUUCUAUUUAGUAUUUGUGACUACCCAGCAGUCUGUUUUUCAGUCACUCCAUUAAAAAUGGAAGCACCUGGUUUCUGCAAGUUGUAAUGUUCAAGGAAAAUGAAGCAUGAAGAUAAUGAUGCCAGCUGAGCAUUUUUAGUACAUUCUUAAGGUGAAACCUCCAAGUAUUCAGUUGUCAUUUCACUGAACCUAACAUCCUUUCGUUUUGCUGAAUCUGUACUUCAGUUUGAUUUCGCAAGCAAAGCAAACAUUAUUUUUCCCCUUGAGGCUUCCUGCUGUCUAGCUUGCAUCCUGCUCGAAUUCAGUUCCAUAGCUACCAUACCUAAUUUAAAACUAUUUUUCCCAAUGCUUGUCACCCUGUCGUGUAGACAAGGCUUGAUUAUCCGUUAUUCAUAUGCCUUGUAACUUUUCAACAUUUUCUAAAUUUCUUAGGUAUUUUAAUUUGCUGAAUUGUUCAUUCAAGUUCCAGAACUUGUUGACAACACACUUCCUCAUUUGUCUGAACCUUUUUGUAAAGUUCGUUAUUCUAGUCGGAAUUGUUUUACCUAAGCUUCAUAUUUUUUUCUAUGAAUUCAUGUCAUAGAAGAAACGACCUUUUUUUCCCAAUGCUUGUCGUCUUGUCGAGUCAGCUGCUGGAAAUAGCAGAGCACCAACCGUCAAUAGUUGAUCAGGUUUUGUGUAUGAACAAAUAUAAAUUAGUAAUGUUUCAAGGAUAAUAUUGGCAUCCACAGCCUACAGGCCUGUCAGGCAGUUCAUCUCCUUGAGUUUAAGGUUUGCUCAUCUCCUCCAUUUUUAAAUAUAUGACAUUUAGGACAAUCAAAUUAGUUAGUUCAUUUUUGAACUAAAUAGCUUAUCCUAAAUAUCAUAUAUUUAUGGACAGUGGUAUUACUACAACUAUCUUUUCUGUGCUUUCUUGAGUUUCCAUUGGUGAGCAAUAUUAUGUCUUAAUUUUUAUGUUUUUACUUUGUCAAUUGGACCUCAUCAUUUUUAUCCCGUUUGAUUGGAACAACUAGAUUAUUUCUAACUAUUAUAUCCGUCAGAUACAAGUUGAAUCAGCUAGCCGAGUAUUCCAGGUUCUCUUUGAACCCAUCAAGAAACGGGGUACUUUAUUCUUGGAAGAGCUUGGCUUGCCAUCAGAUGUCUUAUACCCUAGCAUGAUCGCAACAAUAGUUAACUUUUGCAUGAAUUAGAUUGAUCUGGUUGUAUGGAUGGAAGGACUGUAAUUUGAAUAUCUGCUCAGAUUGUAUCUAUUUAUCUUGUAAUGUUGAUAAUAAAGAUCGUGUAACUAUUGCAUUUAAUAAAGUUGCUUGCUAAACGGGAAA